RNAcentral lists this transfer RNA (65 nucleotides) under Azana sp. WQY005. RNAcentral's name for it is "tRNA-Leu". The record is from RNAcentral. Lineage: Eukaryota; Metazoa; Arthropoda; Insecta; Diptera; Mycetophilidae.
AUUAUUUUGGCAGAUAAAUGCAAUAAGUUUAGAAUUUGUUUAUGUAAUUAUUAUUACAAAUAAUA